Molecule: long non-coding RNA, 1976 nt
Organism: Syngnathus acus (greater pipefish)
Lineage: Eukaryota; Metazoa; Chordata; Actinopteri; Syngnathiformes; Syngnathidae
Exons: 3
Source: RefSeq, a predicted model, not a curated record
AGGAACUCGCGACUCGUCGGACGCCGUCACCGUAACGCCUCAUGUAGUCUGCCAGACCUGCGGAAGGAGAGCGGAUCAGAGAAGGACUACAAACAUGGCGGAGCAGCGCUUGAAUGCAACACUAUGAUGAGGAUGAGUCAAGAGCGGAGUCACACUGGAGGAUUUCAAGAGCGGCCAUGCGCGGAUGAAGUGGCGUCCGGUGUGCGGAUCAGUUCAGGGUGACUGCGGCCUAACAAUCCAGGUGAACAACCACCAUAACCAAAGAAGACAAGAUCAUUCCAGUCAGGCAAGUUUGGCCUUUGUUUUAAUAAUAAUUGAAAUGAGCCAUUUUUCAACAAGGAGACAUCUCCCAUUUAAAAAUGUGCUUUUGGAUAAAAACGAGGAGCUGAUGCUGUCGUGCAUUCCGGGCAACGUGGUCCACUUUUAACAUCAGAGUGGCGUUUUUAACAGCUGCCACUUAAUGCAAGCCUGAGGCUUAAGUCCCAUAACAGGAGCCUCGCAGGGAACCUGAACUUCCACAGCCCGGUGCGAAGACGCCCCUCACAUGCGAUCCUACACGGGAAUUCCGCAAUAGCGUGCAGAGGGGACGCCAUCCUCACGCCGGCUGGAUCAAAAAGAAAUGUGCGCAGCGUGCAAUCCACUAAGAUUGACCUGUGCAAAAUUCCAGUCCGGGAACACAACAAUAUUGGAGCCGGUUUAAGGUCAGGUGAGAGGUUAGGACCGCCAUUCCUCGAGCGCCGGCUUCACUUCUUGGAAGUGAGGCCAUCGUGACGCGGGAGUCGGUUGCUAUUAGACGAUGAAUUAUUCACACCGUGCUAUUGGCUGGCAACACGUCAUUUAAAAAAAAAAAAAAAAAAAGGAUCAAUUUCCAAGUCAAUUGUGUGCAACUCAAAAUUACAUACUUUUAAAUCUGCUGCAACUGAAUCAUUAAAUUGAUCAAUUUAAUGAUACAUCCACCUCAAUUGUUAAAAAAAACAUCAGCAUUAGUAUUAUGUGCGUGGUAUCGCGGACACCGCUACCGGUCUCGGGACCGUGUUCUUUGCAUGCUCGUUAAGAUCUUAAAGGACCGAAAAGCGUACUUGACUCAACAAAACACUUUACGCAAAGAAUCCACUUGAGGGAAACAAACAAGAUUGCAAGUCCAAAGUGUUCAGAAAGUUAACAACUCUCAUCAACCUUCAUAUUAAUUUACACUUUAUUUUCAUUUAUAUUUGCAUAUGCCCUUCUUUUCCUGACAUGUGAUUGAAAGAAACGUCAAACUUUUUCCAGACUUGUUCUUCCACGCACCCGUAACAAACGUGGAGAACAAAUGUCCCUUCACGCAUGUCUUGCCUUUGAAUACUGUAGAGAAUCCUUUGUGAUGUCUCACGAGGAACCAUUUUGCGAUGCAUGCGGGUCUUGAGUUUUUUUAAAGUAGGCCACCCUGACCUUUCGUUCUGUAUUUUGGUGGGUUGUCAGGCACCAUAAAGUGUCAAAAGAGCAACAUGUGUGAAAAGCAUUGCUUUCAAGGAAUGUGUUCAAAUGAAGGCUACUGUCAUCGGCUGCUAAAGCUGACGUCUGCUCGCUGACAACAUGUUUCCUACUUGCGGUCUCUGUUACAAAAACUUUCAACAACUGGAAAAAAGAUUACACUCAUGAGCCUCGUCAUUUAUUGGGAUUUGGCACGCACACAUUCAUGCACGAGUGCUUCUUGAGGACAUUGAUUCACUCGCAAGUGCAUCACGAGGACCUCAUUUCUCUCCCAUACAUUCAAUAAAAAGCUUUAAGGUGACUCACUGGCACCCCCUUGCGAAUUUAACUGUAAUUACAGGAUCCACUCAUCCGUUCCAUUGAUCCAUCAUAACAAUCCAUUUAUUUUAUUAAUUUGUUAAUCCAUCAUCUUUGUAUAAAUUAUUUACCCGAAAUCAGUACUGUACAUUCCUACUAUUUAUUUUUCUAAACAUCCAUCCAGCUAACAAAUUACCAGACUGACCUGU